This is a long non-coding RNA of Anguilla anguilla (European eel), 1471 nucleotides long. RefSeq lists it as uncharacterized. The record is from RefSeq and is a predicted model, not a curated record. NCBI's taxonomy places the organism in Eukaryota, Metazoa, Chordata, Actinopteri, Anguilliformes, Anguillidae. The transcript is spliced from 3 exons.
AGGCGGGGCCGAGCAGACAGGGAUGGAGAGAGGAGGGCAUGAAACAGGAAAUGUGGGAGAAAGACCAAGGGGAGGAAUAUAUAUGGAUGGAGGAGAAGAUGGAAGAAGCAGAGGAGAAAAAGAUUUUUUCUUGGACAAAUUGGAGGCAAUUCAGUACCAACAAAGAAGAGAAAAGGAUUAAAGAAAAGGAGGAAAGAGUCCAGAAAAAACUGGCAAAACUGAGUCAGAGGGCUGCUGAAGAGGAGGAAAGGGCAAAGAGAAAAUGGGAAGAAGCUGGGAAGAGAGCUGAGAAAACGGUGGGAAAAGCCCAGAAAAAACAGGAGGAAAAGAGGAUGAAGGCAGAGAAAGAAGCGGAAAAGGCCAAGAGAAAACUUGAGCAAAAGGAAAAAAAGGCAAAUGAGCCAAGGUGGUGGCAAAUGUAUGACAACGAGGUGUGCAGGUACCCUAAUAUUAGUUAUUAUAUGUAGUUCCUGACUGGCAGGACACACCACAGGGAAGCGCUUCAAAAGUCAUUUUAUGAAGCAACAGUGACAUCCUGUGGCCAGUCAGGCAUCUGCAGUCAGCCUGUGCAAGCUCCAAGUGAAAUGUAGCCUACUCCUCCAAAGCUGGUCGUGUAAGACAGUAUGGAGAAAAGAAGUGAUUUGUCCAGUAGCCCCCCAUGGUGAAUUAUUAGCUGUGGCAUCACCACCCAGGAAGGGAGGAUUUCAGUUUCUGGGAUUGCCAACCUUAUCGUGGACCAGCAGUGUAGUUCUGCGGGCCUACACUCUUGCUGGUGAAGAUGGAAGAGGAAGCAUGAGGAUUCUCUACAUGACAAUGGAGGGUCUUCAUGAUUAUACGCUGCAAAUAAAGCAUGACAAAAAGGAGGAAUACCAGGAGGCCAGCUUGGAGUAAAGAGGAAGACACUUCUGGGAUCAGUCCAAUCUACUUCAGCCCACAGUGACAGCAGCUCCUGGGCUCCUGCUUUCACCAUGCUGUACUGACGUCCACUGCUGUUAGGAAAUUCCCCCCGUGAUGACAUCCUGACGGUUUUGGUGUGGUGAGAGUGCUCGCCUCCAUUUCGACAAUCCUCCUUUUUUUUACAUUUGGGGACCCAGGCACAACAUGCAGCAGUUUUGUUAGUUCCCAUAAAAAAACUUCAAAAGGCAGCUUUUUCAACUUAGUACUCUUCCAGGACGCAUGAUUAGUUAGGCCAACAAGCUGCCUAGUUAGCUGACUAGCCUGUCUACACUAGACUGAUCAUGCGUGCAUUUCAGCCUUCAAAUAAAUGACUCAAUUAGGUUUAGCUGUCGCAAAGCCUAUUAGCUGAAUAUAUGAAUUCUCCGAGCUGAUACCGCGCCCAGUGCUUUUCUGUCAGACCUUCAGAGUUUUUGUAGCCAUAGCCCAAGCCUUUUAAGUGUACGUACCAUGUCUGUUUGCUAACCCUGCACGAUCUACACGAUCGUAGCAAGAUUGUCUCUUUCUGCCUCCAAGU